AUGUACAAUGCAAUUUUGGUAGUCAUUUUCCAUUUCAGUUGGAAAAUGCAGUCGGAUGUUUGGGGUACUAUAAGUGAUCAAGGGGUGGUAACUCAUAUUACAGGGGGAAACUUUGCACAAAGUUCCAUGACGGUUAAUGGGUGGCUCCAAGAUUUCUUUUGGGCACAGGCAUUGCAAGUCAUUCAGCCUUAUGGUUCUUCAUUAUCUGCAUAUGUUCUUUUUUUCUUAGGUGCUCAUUUUGUCUAG
RNAcentral lists this ribosomal RNA (246 nucleotides) under Triticum aestivum (bread wheat). RNAcentral describes it as "partial small subunit ribosomal RNA". The record is from RNAcentral. Lineage: Eukaryota; Viridiplantae; Streptophyta; Magnoliopsida; Poales; Poaceae.